RNAcentral lists this ribosomal RNA (491 nucleotides) under uncultured bacterium. RNAcentral's name for it is "partial 16S ribosomal RNA". It matches the Rfam family "Bacterial small subunit ribosomal RNA", at positions 29 to 507 of the family's 1533-position model. The record is from RNAcentral.
AGUGAACGCUGGCGGUAGGCCUAACACAUGCAAGUCGAACGGCAGCACAGUAAGAGCUUGCUCUUACGGGUGGCGAGUGGCGGACGGGUGAGGAAUACAUCGGAAUCUACUUUUUCGUGGGGGAUAACGUAGGGAAACUUACGCUAAUACCGCAUACGACCUACGGGUGAAAGCAGGGAUCUUCGGACCUUGCGCGAUUGAAUGAGCCGAUGUCGGAUUAGCUAGUUGGCGGGGUAAAGGCCCACCAAGGCGACGAUCCGUAGCUGGUCUGAGAGGAUGAUCAGCCACACUGGAACUGAGACACGGUCCAGACUCCUACGGGAGGCAGCAGUGGGGAAUAUUGGACAGUGGGCGCAAGCCUGAUCCAGCCAUACCGCGUGGGUGAAGAAGGCCUUCGGGUUGUAAAGCCCUUUUGUUGGGAAAGAAAAGCAGCAGGUUAAUACCCCGCUGUUCUGACGGUACCCAAAGAAUAAGCACCGGCUAACUUCGUG